Molecule: ribosomal RNA, 376 nt
Filed under: uncultured organism
Description: partial 16S ribosomal RNA
Rfam family: Bacterial small subunit ribosomal RNA
Source: RNAcentral
GUAGGUGGCAAGCGUUGUCCGGAAUUAUUGGGCGUAAAGCGCGCGCAGGCGGUUCUUUAAGUCUGAUGUGAAAGCCCACGGCUCAACCGUGGAGGGUCAUUGGAAACUGGAGAACUUGAGUACAGAAGAGGAAAGCGGAAUUCCACGUGUAGCGGUGAAAUGCGUAGAGAUGUGGAGGAACACCAGUGGCGAAGGCGGCUUUCUGGUCUGUAACUGACGCUGAGGCGCGAAAGCGUGGGGGGAGCAAACAGGAUUAGAUACCCUGGUUAGUCCACGCCGUAAACGAUGAGUGCUAAGUGUUAGGGGGGUUUUCCGCCCCCUUAGUGCUGCAGCUAACGCAUUAAGCACUCCGCCCUGGGAGUACGGCCGCAGGCUG